UCACAUAAAAUUAUUUUUCUCUUCAUCUUUGCAUUUUCUCCUUUCUUCUUUGCUUUGCUGUAUGUACUAUGUUCACCGAGAUAGGUAUCGCGAAAUUUCUGAUGUAAAAUUUCUGGAAGCCACCUUGAAUUUCUCAAUAUAAACCCUGAGCUAACACAAUAAUAUCGUCUUUAAAUCUACUCUGAAUAUCUGGACUAAAAAUAAACGUUUGAUCACUGCAACGAUAAUAUAUGGAUUUUCCCAUUUUGGCAUUUUCUCAAAACACAUUUGUAGCUUCUCAGCUGUGCACGGCGCGAAGCAUUUUUAAUUGAUUGAUUUGGAUCUUCAAUGAACGAUUACAAGAAGGACCAAAAUUUUUUGCUGGCAAGGUGGUCCACGGACAUGCCAUUUUUGGCCGAUACAAAACUUCUUGUCGAUUUAUCAAAUUCUUUUAGUUUGCAUGCAGCAAAUUAUCUCAACGCUUGCGCUUGCAAGACGUUUGAUAAAAAUUUUAUGCGAGGCUUUAAAAUGAAUGCAAUUUGCCGGGACAGAUGCAGAGUUCUUCGAAGAUUUAAUUUGGGUACGCUACCGUGAGAAUUUUACCCCACCGUGCCCGAUGGCACACGGGUUAAUUUAACGUAACCGGCGCCCUCCAGAGACUUAAACAAUUCCUAUAAGUUAGGAGCCUAAACUGCAUUGGAAAAAUCGGAUAUAUUUAUUGUAUAUGGCCCAGUACUCUCUCUGCCUGGGAGUGUUGAGGCCCCUGCACAGCGACAAUUGCUGAUACAUAUUAUAUGGAAAUUUGAUUGCGACAUCUUUACCAGAGCCAUAGACAAUCUCGAUGCAAGAACGACUCCGGUCGGCCAAAUGACACGCCUAAAAUUAAGUAAAUAAUAUAGAACCUUUUUAACAUUGACUUAACCUGGAAGAUAGGCUACGUUCUCUUUGAGUGAAAUAGAAAUUUUUUAUUUGUUACCCUUACUUUUAUACUCGGAAUUCUUAGCCUGUUCGUACUAUUCAGAGAUGACCUGGUACUAUAAAUAUUUACUCGUCUCUUAAUUACCCUAUGCAAGCUCGCUUUCCCGUUUAAAAUGUGCAAGUAGCAAGUUGCGGGUUUUUUAGCGAGUUUUCUCAGCUUUAAACUGAAAAGAAGAAAUGGCAACCAAGUAAUAACUAAGAGAAUUAUAUUCAGUCAUACUCGAAUAUUUUUUAUCCAUCAUCGUUAUC
Long non-coding RNA from Glossina fuscipes, 1206 nucleotides. RefSeq lists it as uncharacterized. NCBI's taxonomy places the organism in Eukaryota, Metazoa, Arthropoda, Insecta, Diptera, Glossinidae. The transcript has 2 exons. The record is from RefSeq and is a predicted model, not a curated record.